Molecule: ribosomal RNA, 429 nt
Filed under: Pseudomonadota bacterium
Lineage: Bacteria; Pseudomonadati; Pseudomonadota
Description: Proteobacteria bacterium partial 16S ribosomal RNA
Rfam family: Bacterial small subunit ribosomal RNA
Source: RNAcentral
UGGGGAAUAUUGGACAAUGGGCGAAAGCCUGAUCCAGCCAUGCCGCGUGUGUGAAGAAGGUCUUCGGAUUGUAAAGCACUUUAAGUCGGGAGGAAGGGCAGUAAGCGACUACCUUGCUGUUUUGACGUUACCGACAGAAUAAGCACCGGCUAACUCUGUGCCAGCAGCCGCGGUAAUACAGAGGGUGCGAGCGUUAAUCGGAUUUACUGGGCGUAAAGCGUGCGUAGGCGGCUAAUUGAGUCGGAUGUGAAAUCCCCGAGCUUAACUUGGGAAUUGCAUUCGAUACUGGUUAGCUCGAGUGUGGGAGAGGAUGGUAGAAUUCCAGGUGUAGCGGUGAAAUGCGUAGAGAUCUGGAGGAAUACCGAUGGCGAAGGCAGCCAUCUGGCCUAACACUGACGCUGAGGUACGAAAGCAUGGGGAGCAAACAGG